AUUGAACGCUGGCGGCAGGCUUAACACAUGCAAGUCGAGCGGGGGAAGGUAGCUUGCUACUGGACCUAGCGGCGGACGGGUGAGUAAUGCUUAGGAAUCUGCCUAUUAGUGGGGGACAACAUCUCGAAAGGGAUGCUAAUACCGCAUACGUCCUACGGGAGAAAGCAGGGGAUCUUCGGACCUUGCGCUAAUAGAUGAGCCUAAGUCGGAUUAGCUAGUUGGUGGGGUAAAGGCCUACCAAGGCGACGAUCUGUAGCGGGUCUGAGAGGAUGAUCCGCCACACUGGGACUGAGACACGGCCCAGACUCCUACGGGAGGUAGCAGUGGGGAAUAUCGGACAAUGGGGGGAACCCUGAUCCAGCCAUGCCGCGUGUGUGAAGAAGGCCUUAUGGUUGUAAAGCACUUUAAGCGAGGAGGAGGCUACUUUAGUUAAUACCUAGGGAUAGUGGACGUUACUCGCAGAAUAAGCACCGGCUAACUCUGUGCCAGCAGCCGCCGUAA
Molecule: ribosomal RNA, 501 nt
Filed under: uncultured bacterium
Lineage: Bacteria
Description: partial 16S ribosomal RNA
Rfam family: Bacterial small subunit ribosomal RNA
Source: RNAcentral